GGGAGGAGCUGUGAGUGCUAGGGAAGAUGAUGACUUAAUUGAUAACCUUAAAGAAGCUCAGUACAUCAGAGCUAAAAGUGUAGAGCAAGCCUUCAGAGCCAUUGACCGAGGAGAUUACAAUCUGGAAGGCUACAGAGACAAUGCUUACAAAGACAGCCUGGAAGCACUGAAACACACACUUGUUAGCACCUUGCAUUUAUUCUGAAAUUAUGAAAGUUUUGAAAUUUCAACCAGGAUUACCUUUUCAUAACCUGGAAAAUGGAACCGGAUAUUUUAGUACAAUGGUCUUUUGGGAAUAAAUCGUGGGAUUGAACUUCAUUCAGAUGUGGUGGAGUAUGCCAAAGAAAAACUGGAGAGCUUCAUCAAAAAUAGUGAUCGCUUUCCUAAUCAGCUCCUAGACCUAGACUAUCUGUAUAAGAGGGAAGUUACAGGGCAAGGCUUGGUCACCUUGAUCUCCUAGCUACUUUUCAAAAGAAGUACAUGGGCAAGGUCCCUGCUGUGAAUGAAAUCGUCUGUCCAUCUGAAGAUGAAGAUAAUCCAACAUGCACCUAAAAAGAAAGCCACUGCCAAGAUUUGAAUUCUGUGAAAUUGCAUUUGUGGUCGGGAAUUGCCUUCAGAUAGCUUCUGACAGUCAUCAGUAUGGUCGAAUUUACUGUGGAGUUGGAGUCCGAAAGAUCACAAAACUACAUGAAGAUCUUUACUCAAAGUUGGGGACAUAUGGAUCAUGCCUAUGGAGGUUGAGUUGAUUGCGUGUACUGGACAAAACACUUGGGAAAGUAAAAAUAUCCUUGUGGUUUCCUUUGAAUCACUAGUAAGACCUAGUAAGAAUGAUAACAGCACAUCAUUAUCAUGGGGCUUCUCCCCAUCCCCAGUGUGCUAUCAGGAAUCUCCAAGACUUGGCUGGUAUUUACAUUUAGCAUACACUUAGAAACUUUAUAAAUGAUGAGAUGCAGGCUAAGGGGAUUCCACAAAAGGCUCCAAUGAAGAGGAAAAGAAAGAUAAUUAAACAGAAUCAAUAGUUAUAUAUUUGUGGGUAUCCAGCUUAUCUCUCAGUCUCUAGACAGUAAAGAGGAUGAAAAAAUAGAAGACAGCAAAGAAGAAAAGAAAGAUCACAGUAAAGCCAUGAAGCAUGAGUAGCCACCUCAGAACCUACUGAAGGAAAAGAUAAGGAAGCUGCCACUCCCCUAGUCUUUAAAGGCUACCUUGAUAUAUUUUAGAGACAAAUAA
Molecule: long non-coding RNA, 1227 nt
Filed under: Mus musculus (house mouse)
Lineage: Eukaryota; Metazoa; Chordata; Mammalia; Rodentia; Muridae
Description: long non-coding RNA chr17:91667078-91668305
Source: RNAcentral